AUUGAACGCUGGCGGCAUGCUUUACACAUGCAAGUCGAACGGUAACAGGGAGCUUGCUCCGCUGACGAGUGGCGAACGGGUGAGUAAUGCAUCGGAACGUACCCAGUCGUGGGGGAUAACGUAGCGAAAGUUACGCUAAUACCGCAUACGUCCUGAGGGAGAAAGCGGGGGACCGAAAGGCCUCGCGCGAUUGGAGCGGCCGAUGUCGGAUUAGCUAGUUGGUAGGGUAAAGGCCUACCAAGGCGACGAUCCGUAGCGGGUCUGAGAGGAUGAUCCGCCACACUGGGACUGAGACACGGCCCAGACUCCUACGGGAGGCAGCAGUGGGGAAUUUUGGACAAUGGGCGAAAGCCUGAUCCAGCCAUGCCGCGUGAGUGAAGAAGGCCUCGGUUGUAAG
RNAcentral lists this ribosomal RNA (397 nucleotides) under uncultured bacterium. RNAcentral describes it as "bacterial SSU rRNA". It matches the Rfam family "Bacterial small subunit ribosomal RNA", at positions 29 to 429 of the family's 1533-position model. The record is from RNAcentral.